RNAcentral lists this ribosomal RNA (782 nucleotides) under uncultured Neocallimastigales. RNAcentral describes it as "partial large subunit ribosomal RNA". It matches the Rfam family "Eukaryotic large subunit ribosomal RNA", at positions 24 to 645 of the family's 3401-position model. Lineage: Eukaryota; Fungi; Neocallimastigomycota; Neocallimastigomycetes; Neocallimastigales. The record is from RNAcentral.
UAUGUGAUCGUCUCUCGCAUAUCAAUAAGCGGAGGAAAAGAAACUAACAAGGAUUCCCCUAGUAACGGCGAGUGAAGCGGGAAGAGCUCAAAUUUGAAAUCUUAAAGGGUUUCCCUUUACGAAUUGUAGUUUAAAGAAGUGUUUUCUGUUGAGGUUUUGGUAAAAGUUCUUUGGAAUAGGACAUCAUAGAGGGUGAGAAUCCCGUAUUCGAUCCGAGUAGCUUGUCAUCUUUGUCGAUACCUGUUUCAAAGAGUCAGGAUUGUUUGGGAAUGCAGUCCUAAAUGGGUGGUAAAUUUCAUCUAAAGCUAAAUAUUGGCGAGAGACCGAUAGCGAACAAGUACCGUGAGGGAAAGGAUGAAAAGAACUUUGAAAAGAGAGUUAAACAGUACGUGAAAUUGUCAAAAGGGAAGCGUUUGACACCAGUGUUGUUUUUCUGAAAAUCAAUUAAAGAACUGUUUAUGCUAAGUUGUUUAGACUUUAUCAGCUAACUGUUUAGUUUUGAGCUUUUCUUUAAUGCACUUUUCAGUUAACAAGUCAACAUCAAUUUCUUUUGCUGUAAAAAAGCUUGAGGAAGGUGGCUUGAGAUUCGUCUUAAGUGUUUAUAGCCUCUUGCCUAUGCAGUCGGAGAGAUUGAGGUCUGCAGCGUAGAUCCUUCGGGGCUAAAUGCAUUUGUGCUAAGUUAUAGCAUUUUAUAGACAACUUGUUGACUAUGGUUUGUCUUGUAGCUUACUCGCUUAUGUUAUUUUACCUACGCUUAGGAUGUUGAAGUCAUCGUAUCGCGC